This 74-nucleotide transfer RNA is filed under the name Paroedura neglecta. RNAcentral's name for it is "tRNA-Trp". The record is from RNAcentral. Lineage: Eukaryota; Metazoa; Chordata; Lepidosauria; Squamata; Gekkonidae.
AAGUAGCCCAGUACUUAUUAUACACRAACCAGGAGCCUUCAAAGCCCCAAAAAGUGACUUUCCACUAGAACCUG